AAGUCGUAACAAGGUUUCCGUAGGUGAACCUGCGGAAGGAUCAUUAAAGAGUUAGGGUCCUCUGGCCCGAUCUCCAACCCUAUGUUUAAUCACCCUGUUGCUUUGGCGGGCCCGUCGUACGACCGUUGAAGGUCUCUGGACCUUUGGCCCGUGCCCGUCAGUAGCCCUUAUUAAAUUCUUGACAAACUGUGAUGUCUGAGUAUAAACUUAAUAGUUAAAACUUUCAACAACGGAUCUCUUGGUUCUG
RNAcentral lists this unclassified non-coding RNA (247 nucleotides) under Chaetothyriales sp. Its description in RNAcentral is "partial contains small subunit ribosomal RNA, internal transcribed spacer 1, and 5.8S ribosomal RNA". The stretch from base 1 to 46 matches the Rfam family "Eukaryotic small subunit ribosomal RNA", at positions 1786 to 1831 of the family's 1831-position model. Lineage: Eukaryota; Fungi; Ascomycota; Eurotiomycetes; Chaetothyriales. The record is from RNAcentral.